This 465-nucleotide ribosomal RNA is filed under the name Vreelandella stevensii. RNAcentral's name for it is "partial 16S ribosomal RNA". It matches the Rfam family "Bacterial small subunit ribosomal RNA", at positions 338 to 795 of the family's 1533-position model. The record is from RNAcentral. Lineage: Bacteria; Pseudomonadati; Pseudomonadota; Gammaproteobacteria; Oceanospirillales; Halomonadaceae.
CCUACGGGCGGCUGCAGUGGGGAAUAUUGGACAAUGGGGGCAACCCUGAUCCAGCCAUGCCGCGUGUGUGAAGAAGGCCCUCGGGUUGUAGAGCACUUUCAGUGAGGAAGAACGCCUGGUGGUUAAUACCCAUCAGGAAAGACAUCACUCACAGAAGAAGCACCGGCUAACUCCGUGCCAGCAGCCGCGGUAAUACGGAGGGUGCGAGCGUUAAUCGGAAUUACUGGGCGUAAAGCGCGCGUAGGUGGCUUGAUAAGCCGGUUGUGAAAGCCCCGGGCUCAACCUGGGAACGGCAUCCGGAACUGUCAAGCUAGAGUGCAGGAGAGGAAGGUAGAAUUCCCGGUGUAGCGGUGAAAUGCGUAGAGAUCGGGAGGAAUACCAGUGGCGAAGGCGGCCUUCUGGACUGACACUGACACUGAGGUGCGAAAGCGUGGGUAGCAAACAGGAUUAGAUACCCUAGUAGUC